RNAcentral lists this ribosomal RNA (837 nucleotides) under Ramularia hydrangeae-macrophyllae. Its description in RNAcentral is "eukaryotic LSU rRNA". It matches the Rfam family "Eukaryotic large subunit ribosomal RNA", at positions 77 to 943 of the family's 3401-position model. The record is from RNAcentral. Lineage: Eukaryota; Fungi; Ascomycota; Dothideomycetes; Mycosphaerellales; Mycosphaerellaceae.
GCCCUAGUAACGGCGAGUGAAGCGGCAACAGCUCAAAUUUGAAAUCUGGCGCAAGCCCGAGUUGUAAUUUGUAGAGGAUGCUUCUAGGUAGCGACCGGUCUAAGUUCCUUGGAACAGGACGUCAUAGAGGGUGAGAAUCCCGUAUGUGACCGGCCCGCACCUUCUACGUAGCUCCUUCGACGAGUCGAGUUGUUUGGGAAUGCAGCUCUAAAUGGGAGGUAAAUUUCUUCUAAAGCUAAAUACCGGCCAGAGACCGAUAGCGCACAAGUAGAGUGAUCGAAAGAUGAAAAGCACUUUGGAAAGAGAGUUAAAAAGCACGUGAAAUUGUUGAAAGGGAAGCGCUCACAACCAGACUUCUGGGCGGUGUUCCGCCGGUCUUCUGACCGGUCUACUCACCGUCCCGAGGCCAACAUCAUCUGGGACCGCUGGAUAAGACCUCAGGAAUGUAGCUCCCCCUCGGGGGAGUGUUAUAGCCUGUGGUGAUGCAGCGCGUCUCGGGUGAGGUCCGCGCUUCGGCAAGGAUGUUGGCGUAAUGGUUGUCAGCGGCCCGUCUUGAAACACGGACCAAGGAGUCUAACAUCUAUGCGAGUGUUCGGGUGUCAAACCCCUACGCGUAAUGAAAGUGAACGGAGGUGGGAAGCGUAAGCUGCACCAUCGACCGAUCCUGAUGUCCUCGGAUGGAUUUGAGUAAGAGCAUAGCUGUUGGGACCCGAAAGAUGGUGAACUAUGCCUGAAUAGGGUGAAGCCAGAGGAAACUCUGGUGGAGGCUCGCAGCGGUUCUGACGUGCAAAUCGAUCGUCAAAUUUGGGUAUAGGGGCGAAAGACUAAUCGAACCAU